UUAACCAAAUCGAAUCACUACAUAAUUAAAAUAAAAGCACAUAAGUCUUUGAAUCACUACAUAAUUAAAAAAAAAAGUACAUAAGUCCUUGAAUCACUACAUAAUUAAAAACAUUACAUAAAAAUGAAAAAUAAAAAUUGAAAGGCGACAGACAACUAUUUUUCUCUUCUUUUAAGUUCAAUAAUCUUUUUAUGAUUUUGGAUUGUACCUAAAAUUAAUGGGCAGUAUUGACCCAAAAUCAUAUUAAUUAAAAAUAUAAAAAGGCAUAAGAUAUGGGGCCAAUGGGCAGUAUUGAUGAAAGAAAUUUAGGACUUGUAAAGAUCUCCUGGUAGAUUGAAUAAACAUAUCUCAAUCUUCCAUUUCUGCUCCCCAACUAUUGGAAGCUUUGUGUCUAUCUCUAUUCUGCAGGGAAAUGAUAAACCACAUCCAAGAGACAAUUAAGUCGUUGCCUAACAUAAGCUUAACUUGGUUGUCAUGAUUGAUGAAAUGGAAGCUUUUGCCAAUAAUUUAGGAUGCAUUUCAGUGGUAUGCUAAAACCCAGAUAUCAAAUUCAUGAAGUAAAAGGUAGAAGAAACUAGUAUAGGAAGCCAUUGAGAUUUCAAACCUUAAACAAGGAAGGGUAUUGUAACUUAAAUUUACUCUAUUAUAAUAAUAGGGUGGAACAAGGGUAGCACUUGGUCUUUCCCGACCCUUCUCAUCAGGCCAAACAAAAAGCAAGCACCGGCUUCUGGACCUUGAGAUGCAGCCUAAGGAAUCCUAGACUCCUAGUGCAAGAUCCACAUCCAUCAAAACACCAUCCCUGAAAUCAACAUUGCAACUGCCCAUUUUCAUCUAUCAGCCCUUCCUACCAUUUCCAGAGAAACAAAUCAAAACCCAUAUUUCUGAAAACACACUAACUUUCUCCUUCUUUUUAGCUCAAGCAAACAGGCAGGGAAGUUCGAACACAAAAUUAACCCUAAAGCGGCCACUGAAGAGGUGCCCUUCAGCAGUAUUUAGAAUUAAACCUUAAAAAUGCACUACUCACGGUAACAUACAAUCGCAAACACCUGAGUAUGGCCUCAAAAUUUUCAUCAUCAUUUGCAGAUACUGGAUAGGUUCGAAGUUCGAACAGCACACACAAGUAUUCAUCGUGCAAACAAUGUGUUGUUCUUCUUUGACCACCGUAGCUUUAGAGCAUGGGUGUUGAGGGUCUAGGCUAAAGCUUUUCACACCCAAACCCAUUGAAAAUGUGGGAGAGAAUCUCGCUCAUAUUAUUAGUUUAAUCGACUUAAGAAACCAUACUAAUGUCGACUUAAGAAAUUGGAAAAAAAAACAAAGGGAAAUUAGAAGAAAGCAAACCUGGCCUCUGGGUAUUGGUGUGCUGGAAGAGAAAUGGAUAGCAAAAUGGUGAAUUUUCCCGAUUUGACUGAAAAUCUGAGAUUGAGAUUGAGAAAUGAGAACCCGACGAUGGCUGAUUUGUGACUUUGUGUUGCUGCCUGUUACCAGUACUGCUGAGUGCUGGGUGCUGAGUGCUCUUGAGAAAAGGUUUGGUUCUUGGGCUUGGAGC
RNAcentral lists this long non-coding RNA (1546 nucleotides) under Gossypium raimondii (Peruvian cotton). RNAcentral describes it as "long non-coding RNA (GRAI_LNC006744)". Lineage: Eukaryota; Viridiplantae; Streptophyta; Magnoliopsida; Malvales; Malvaceae. The record is from RNAcentral.